CAAUUCAUCUCCUUCACUGACCCAAAUGGCAGGAUGCAAGAGGAAGACCUGUUGUCCCCAGUGUGUGCCAUUACCAACGCUGGGAGCAGUUGUCAGCUCAAUCUCUAAUUGAGCUGGAUCCUCAUUUCUUCCUCGAAAAUGGACAUCGAACCAUCCACCAUAACCACAAAACCGUGUGCUCUCUGAGUUGAUUGAUGACAAAAAACUUGAUUUGACUUCAAG
RNAcentral lists this unclassified non-coding RNA (222 nucleotides) under Hevea brasiliensis (rubber tree). Lineage: Eukaryota; Viridiplantae; Streptophyta; Magnoliopsida; Malpighiales; Euphorbiaceae. The record is from RNAcentral.